RNAcentral lists this ribosomal RNA (642 nucleotides) under Triticum aestivum (bread wheat). RNAcentral's name for it is "partial small subunit ribosomal RNA". The record is from RNAcentral. Lineage: Eukaryota; Viridiplantae; Streptophyta; Magnoliopsida; Poales; Poaceae.
AUGAAGCCUCUCGCCGCUCUGCUCGUCUCCAGCCUCCACAUCCACUGCCUCUGCCUGCUACUCCGGGGAGCACUCGCCACGGCGCCGGCGCCGUCCGCCCACCACCACCCGCAGGCGCCGGCAGCCCACCACGAGUACAACGCCUCCGCGGCGCGGUGCGCGGGCUGCGGCGGCGGGGACACCGGCGCGGCGCUGGGCGGGCUGGGCGCGUGGGCGGAGGCGGCGGAGUUCCUCUACUACCACAACGCGGUGCGGAUGGCGCGUUGGGAGCUGCCGCUGGCGUGGUCGCCGCGGCUCGAGUCGUACGCGCGGUCGUGGGCGGCGCAGCGCCGGGGCGACUGCGCGCUGCGGCACUCGUUCCCAGAGGGCCAGUUCGCGCUGGGCGAGAACAUCUUCUGGGGCGGCGCGGGCGCCGCGUGGCGGCCCGGGGACGCCGUCAAGGACUGGGCGGCGGAGGGCGUGGACUACUCGUACGCCGCCAACGCGUGCGCGCCGGGCCGGGAGUGCGGCCACUACACGCAGAUCGUGUGGCGCCGCACCGCCUACGUCGGCUGCGCGCGCGUCGUUUGCGACGACGGCGGCGUCUUCAUGACGUGCAACUACUACCCGCCGGGGAACGUCGUCGGGGAGCGGCCCUACUGA